CCUGUUUUUCAAAAACAUCGCUCCCUGUCUUUAAAGUAAAUAGGGAGUCGGACCUGCCCGGUGAAUUUUCAACGGCCGCGGUACUCUGACCGUGCAAAGGUAGCAUAAUAAUUUGCCUUAUAAUUGAAGGCUGGCAUGAAUGGUUUGACGAGAGUAAAGCUGUCUCUUUAUAAUUUAUUAGAAAUUUAUUUUCGAAUGAAAAAGUUCGAGUAUAAUUAAAAGACAAGAAGACCCUAUCGAGCUUUAAAUAGUUUAGUAGAUCAAAAACUAAUUAUAACUAGAAAGUUAUCUACUAAAAAUUUUAGUUGGGGCGACUGAGGAACAAAUAAAGCUUCCUUACCAUAAUUUUAAACCUAUAGGUAUUGAUCCAAGUUACAUUCUGAUUAAUAGAAUUAGUUACCGUAGGGAUAACAGCAUUAUCUUUUUUGAGAGCUCUUAUCGAAAAAAAGGUUUGUGACCUCGAUGUUGGACCAGAAUGUCCUAAAGAUGCAGCAGUCUUUAAGGGUUGGUCUGUUCGACCAUUAAUAUUCUACGUGAUCUGAGUCCA
This 547-nucleotide ribosomal RNA is filed under the name Probata barbadensis. RNAcentral's name for it is "partial 16S ribosomal RNA". It matches the Rfam family "Bacterial large subunit ribosomal RNA", at positions 1799 to 2613 of the family's 2925-position model. Lineage: Eukaryota; Metazoa; Mollusca; Gastropoda; Neogastropoda; Mitridae. The record is from RNAcentral.